CCCUACGGGGGGCAGCAGUGAGGAAUAUUGGCCAAUGGGCGGGAGCCUGAACCAGCCAAGUCGCGUGAGGGAAGACGGUCCUAUGGAUUGUAAACCUCUUUAGGCGGGGAGCAAUGCCGGGCACGCGUGCCCGGAGGGAGAGUACCCGCAGAAUAAGCAUCGGCUAACUCCGUGCCAGCAGCCGCGGUAAUACGGAGGAUGCGAGCGUUAUCCGGAUUUAUUGGGUUUAAAGGGUGCGUAGGCGGAUUUUUAAGUCAGCGGUAAAUGUCCGGGCUCAACCCGGGCCGGCCGUUGAAACUGGGGGU
Molecule: ribosomal RNA, 305 nt
Filed under: uncultured bacterium
Lineage: Bacteria
Description: bacterial SSU rRNA
Rfam family: Bacterial small subunit ribosomal RNA
Source: RNAcentral